CAGCAGCAAAGUGAAGACCUCUCUACCUCCCUCUCCAUUAAUUCCUCACUGGCAUGUUCAGGAUCUUGGCCUCACUCCAGUUCAAGGAGAUUGGAACCACCUGGACCAUCUGGAUAUCCCACAGAAGACCACACUGACCCAUUAUUACACUGAUGAUAUCAUGCUGAUUGGGCAAGACAAGCAAGAGGAAGGAAGGCCCACAGAAGUUGCUGUGUGAACAUGUGUGGAGAUGUGAAUCCAUAUAGCUCAAAGGGUGGACUGUGACACAUAUGAGGCCCAACAGCUUAAAUGGGCUGGGAGGCCAACGAGGUUCGAAACUCAGAG
Molecule: long non-coding RNA, 324 nt
Filed under: Pan troglodytes (chimpanzee)
Lineage: Eukaryota; Metazoa; Chordata; Mammalia; Primates; Hominidae
Description: long non-coding RNA NONPTRT014119
Source: RNAcentral